UACGGGGGGGGCAAGCGUUGUUCGGAUUUAUUGGGCGUAAAGAGCGUGUAGGCGGCCAUGCAGGUCCGUUGUGAAAACUCGAGGCUCAACCUCGAGACGCCGGUGGAAACCGUGUGGCUAGAGUCCGGAAGAGGAGAGUGGAAUUCCUGGUGUAGCGGUGAAAUGCGCAGAUAUCAGGAAGAACACCCGUGGCGAAGGCGGCUCUCUGGGACGUGACUGACGCUGAGACGCGAAAGCGUGGGGAGCAAACAGG
This 253-nucleotide ribosomal RNA is filed under the name uncultured bacterium. RNAcentral's name for it is "partial 16S ribosomal RNA". It matches the Rfam family "Bacterial small subunit ribosomal RNA", at positions 524 to 776 of the family's 1533-position model. The record is from RNAcentral.